UACGUAGGGUGCAAGCGUUGUUCGGAAUUACUGGGCGUAAAGGGCUCGUAGGCGGCCAACUAAGUCAGACGUGAAAUCCCUCGGCUUAACCGGGGAACUGCAUCUGAUACUGGAUGGCUUGAGUUCGGGAGAGGGAUGCGGAAUUCCAGGUGUAGCGGUGAAAUGCGUAGAUACCUGGAGGAACACCGGUGGCGAAGGCGGCAUCCUGGACCGACACUGACGCUGAGGAGCGAAAGCCAGGGGAGCAAACGGG
RNAcentral lists this ribosomal RNA (253 nucleotides) under uncultured bacterium. RNAcentral describes it as "partial 16S ribosomal RNA". It matches the Rfam family "Bacterial small subunit ribosomal RNA", at positions 524 to 776 of the family's 1533-position model. The record is from RNAcentral.